RNAcentral lists this ribosomal RNA (435 nucleotides) under uncultured bacterium. RNAcentral describes it as "bacterial SSU rRNA". It matches the Rfam family "Bacterial small subunit ribosomal RNA", at positions 355 to 787 of the family's 1533-position model. The record is from RNAcentral.
UGAGGAAUAUUGGUCAAUGGGCGGGAGCCUGAACCAGCCAAGCCGCGUGAGGGAAGAAGGCCCUAUGGGUCGUAAACCUCUUUUGUCAGGGAACAAAAGCGAGUAUGUAUACUGGUCUGAGUGUACCUGAAGAAAAAGCAUCGGCUAACUCCGUGCCAGCAGCCGCGGUAAUACGGAGGAUGCGAGCGUUAUCCGGAUUUAUUGGGUUUAAAGGGUGCGUAGGCGGCGGUGCAAGUCAGCGGUAAAAGCCCGGGGGCUCAACCCCGGCGAGCCGUUGAAACUGCAGUGCUAGAGAAGGCGAGAGGUACGCGGAAUGCGCAGUGUAGCGGUGAAAUGCUUAGAUAUUGCGCAGAACUCCGAUUGCGAAGGCAGCGUACUGGCGCCUGACUGACGCUGAGGCACGAAAGCGUGGGGAUCGAACAGGAUUAGAUACCC